AUAGACAUGAUAUCUAAUAGUGGCAUAGUUAAACAAAUGAGAAUAGUUCUGGAAACCCAGCCUUGACAAGUAGAUAAACAAUAUUAAGCGAAUGACAGUAUCCUAUAGGUAGGAUCUCUAGCAAUUGACAAUCGAGCCUUGAUUUUAUAACACUUUACCUCUAUGAGCAGGUUACCUAGGCGGAGCAAUAACAAUAAUAGUAGCUAAUUGAUUAAUUAAGGUCCUAUAGACAUGAUUUCUAGGUGAAAAUCAAUAGAACAUAAGCUAGUGGGAUCUUAUAGGUAUGGUAUUUAAUGAAUAUGAAGCAGUUAUGCGGAUUGAGAGAAUGUUUAUUUCUUAUAGGUAUGUUGUCUAGUAACACAUAGCAGUAGAAUAAAAUAGAGUGUUUACACCCGUGCUUCGAUGAUAGACAAGUUAUGUGUGUGUGUGUGAGUUUCCUAAAGGCAUGGUUUCUACCAGUGGAAGCAAGUCAGGUAAAUCACAUGAACCCUAUGGGCAUGUUUUCUACCCUUGCAUGCAAAUAGUAGAUUAUACUCGUUCCCCAAAUUUCACUAACACCCCCAAUUAUUUAUUACAAAGUUAUUACAGACCCAAUGAUGAAUGUAGUUACAAAAUUAUAAAAGCACUAAUAGUAGGCCCGCAGCAGGCCCAAAAGGAAAUACCCAGCAUUGCCUGGGCCUUCAACAACUCUCAUAGCAUACCCAGAUUUCCAACAUGGAACUAUAUUCAUCAGCACAGCCCGGAAAUCAUAGAGGAAUUCAAGCCAAACCAAACAGCAAUAGAUUGACCAUAUUACCCAAACAUUAAAUCACUUAAACCAACCAAUUUACAUAUUCAGUAGAUAGAAUGAGGGGAGAACUGAGUGUUAGAGAUAGCUCAAGCCUCAGUAGUAAAGAGAGUGGCUAAAAGACCCCAAAUCCUAGUAUGUCAGAGUUCACAAGAGUCUCAAAUGGACCCCGAGCAGUGCUCACACUAGGGAGGUCAGUAGUAAGAGUCUUAGUGGCCUUGGCUUUUAGCCGGACAAGAAUGAUAGGUUCCGAAUAGCACAGGUACCAAAUAAGAGUCAGUGGACAAUGGUUAAGGGACAAAAAUUGAGGAAAUACACUUAUAGCUUAAAGUAGACAUAGCAUAAUUGAAAACAUAGAACGUACUAGUUAAGAAGGCCAACAAGACUUAGAAGUAGGUUCAACACUUAGCAAAAUAACGCAUUAACAUAAAUGUGUUGAAAGACUUAGGGGAGAAACAAGUUCGCAAGAUUAACAAGAUUAUCAUACAAAGGUGCAUAAUACCAAACAAGUCUAAGUAGGGCACUAACUUAAAAGGUUUAAAGCCUAAAGGUCCAAAUUAUGCUAAGGAUUCAUCACAAUAUCAUAAGACAACCAUGUUAACUUAUAUCAUGAAACAGAACAGUAUCAAACAUGGUAGGGAAACACAAAUUAAGAAUAGCUAUUCCAAAGGUCUCAAAUAAUCACUACGGCUGCAAACCAAAACAUGUUGGGGGACAUACUAACAGAAGACCAAGUCAUAGUUGAUAGUGAGGAUCUUAAGACACAUUAUAGGAGUUCAAAACAGAGUGAAAAUGCAAGCUCAAUGUCAAAUAGCAAAUGUAGACAUUCAGGUAUCAACAUUAGGCUAAUACGAACUUAACAUGGUCUAAAUCAUUCAAGCGAACCAUAUUCAAAUAACAUAUCUCAGAACUGGUAGCUUUAGGUGAAAUUAAAUACUAAAGAGGCUCAAAGCGAGUGUAAAGCUAACAAAGUUGUACACAAAAGUAGUUCAGAAACACAUUGAGCCAUGAAUUUCAGAAAUAAGAAUAUGCAACUCUUAAAAGACACACAAGAACGAAAUUGCAAAAGUCAAGUGACUUACCAGUUAAACGGAUAACAAUAAAGAAAAAAAUUCCACAGUAUUCUGAAUCAACAAAGAGCAAGAACCCAAAAUCUUAAUGCGUCAAAGUUCCCAAGGGCUUCAAAGGAACCCCGGAAAAUGCUCGCACCAAGAAAAUGUUGAAAAAUCGAAUCCCAAUGGCCUUGGCUUUCAGCCGGCAAGUACAGAACAAGAAAAUGAGGGAAUAACAGAACAAAUAGCUUCAAUUUUUUAGUGAAAUCUAACAAUUAAGGUAUAUUUCAAAGGGGAAUGGGGAAAGGUUUAUAUAGUAGUAGAAAUCCGGCAAAGAAAUAAGAAAUAUUGUAAAAUUAACAUAAAUAAGGAAAUAAUAUCAUGUAGAAUCAGCAAAAAGUCAGAUUAGAGAAAGAUUAAGUAAACCCUAAUUAAUCGGAAAUUGGCCGGAGAUCUUAGCUAAUCAGACCCAUAUAGCCUGGCCAUGAUGCAUAUGGACGAGAUAUCAUCCAGAUUUAAGCGAUUGAAGUUGAAUGGCCAGAAUCUGAGAGAUAGUACUUGCCAUGCUGAGGCAAGUACUAAGUGAUACCAUGAUCAUGCGGGUAGUACUAAGAUAACACAUAAAAGGCAAAAAAAUCAUGAAAAGAAUCUAUGGUUGAGACGAAUUUGGAGAAAAUUGAGAUGGCGGCUAGGAUUUCUAAGGAGAGGAGAAGAGAGGAUUCAAGGGCGGAAUAUGAGAGAAAAUGAUAGGGUUUUGGGGCGGGUUAGGUUAACUAAAACGGGAGAAUGGCUAUUGGUCGUUGAUCAUUUGAGAUUAACGGCUAGGAUUAGAGGGGAAGUGAGGUAGGUCACAGAACGGGUCCCGACCGGGUUAUACUAAAGGGGUCAUUUGGUCUUGUCCAGGGGGUUAGGCUAAGGAUACUAGGCGAAUUUUGGUUCAAAAAUUAGUUUAAAGUUGGGCUACUAUUUAAAAUAUACAAAAAUAAUUUAUAAAAACACUUGAUAAAUAAAUAAAAAUAUUUAUGUACUAAAAUAAUUAAAAAUAAUAACUUAGUAUUAUAAAAAUAUAAAAUACUAUUUUGACACAAAUAAUAUAUAUAAAAACAUUUAUGCAUGAGUAUAGGCUAUUACUACAAAAUUGUGCAAAUAGCUUAACAAAUGCUAAUGUAAUUAUAUAAAAUGAAGUAAAAUUAUUUAAAAUAUAUAUUAUAGGUGAAAAUAAUAAUUUUAGGUAACUAAGUCAUCACAAAAUAAUUUGAAGAAGUAAUUAAUAAUUAUUCAAGUAAUUUAAGUACAAGAAAAUCAAUUUAAAAGCUUUAAAAAUUAUGGAAAAUUAUAGAAAAUGCUCGUAUAGAUUUUCAAGCUAAAUAAUGAUGCAAAAAUGAUGUUUUUAAAGUAUAUAUAUACUAUUUUAGAAAAUAUGAGUGCCAAAUUGGGUAUCAACACCGCGUCGCAAAUAUAUUCUGCGAGUGGGGAAAAUUUUCACUACUCUCAUGGAAGCGGGCCGUUCGCCUCGACAAGUUAAUAGAUGCAUCUAUGGUUCGUAUCGUUCGACCCUCAGCAGUGCACAGUUUAUAUUUAUAUGUUGGAUCGGAUCGUACGACCUCGACAUGACUUGCGCAUGAUAAUUCUUUGGAACUAAUAAUAAUUGAUAUUGUUCCAUUGGCUUGAGAUACAAAUUGUUAAAUGAUAAAAAUAAAUUUGGAAAUAUGUAUUAGUAAAAGGAUUGUUUAUUAUUUUUGGCUAUUUAGUUUCCAGUUAUAUUAUGUAAUUCAUGCUUAAUUAUAACAUCGGUAUUUUAUUGUUCGCCCAUAGUAAGUGUCAGAGUCGACCCCACGUCACUACUUCUUCGAGGUUAGACGGGAUACUUACUGGGUACGUGAUUUACGUACUCAUACUACACUUGCUGCACAUUUUUGUAUAGGUACAUAUAUGUCUCGUGGCGUUGUGGGUGCAGAGGCAUGGUUAAUGCUGGGACUUAGGUGAUUGCAUUCCAUGUUACGAUUCGCAGUCAGCAGAGUCUCCUUCAGAGCUAUUUAUAUUUUUCCUGUCUAAUAUGUGUUCCGGACAGAUGUUGUAUUUUAUUUUACUCCUUAGUUGAUGUUCAUGCACUUGUGACACCAGAUUUUGGGGUAAUUAUGGAUUGUUCAGUAUUAUAAUUUUGAAAAUAUUAUCACCUACUCUAUAAAACUUUAUCUCUUAUUAUUUAAUUGAAGGAAAAAAUUUGAUUUCAAAAUACUAAAAUGAGUAAUCAAGUUAAUCAAUUAUCGUUAGCUUGUCCUACAACGGGUUAGGCGCCAUCACGACAUUUAACGGAUUUGAAUCGUGACAGAACUGAUUUCAAUAUCAUAACUAUUAUUUCUAAAGUUGUAAUACAUCCAGAAAACUAUCAAAGAGCUUAUAUUGAAUUACCUCCAAACAGCUUAAGGAGGAAACAUUAUGACCAAAUGAAGGCCAGCCACUCCACAGCUAAAUGCAGAAAAUCAGCAAAUACUCUCAGCAACUUAAGAACAGCAUAAUCAACCACCACUCAAAAUCCCACUAGAAUUGAAACAAAAACCAGUAGAAAAAAAAAGGAAAGAGAAGCAGCUUUGAAUUCUUUCUUUUUGUUAUAUUUUCUGUAUCUAGACUUGAACUUUUCAACUUCUUUAUUUUUUGAAAAAAAAAAAAAUUAGUGUGGGUGAGAAAAGUAGCGUGAGGUUUUUUUGUAGACUUUUGUGUGUGUGAAAGGGAAGUGUGAGGUCUCUUUUAUAGAGUGUAAGAGGAAAAGGGGAGGAUAAAAAGGAAUCUUGUCAGCUAAAAAUUAGGGGAGGGCGUCUAUUUUUUUUAACAGAAAAUAGACAGCUGUCAUAUUUUUUUAGCAGCUGUCCUUUUCUCUAUUUUUUUCAGCACCAUACCCUUUUUUAAAGUAACCUUUUUACCCCAACGUCUAACCUAAUUUCUGGUUUUCAUUACACUUUAACCUCUUUUCUGGAAGCUUCCUAAGUAACUACUCAGAUUCUCUAAUUUUGGUGUACUCUCUAGUCUACUCAAUUCUUGCAAAUUACUUUUCUUUUAACAUUCUAUAUUACCUCCAAACAUGCAGUCUUUUAUCCAAAUUUACGGCUCUUUUUUCCUUAUCACAAUUAAACUAAACAAAGCUAAACUAGCACUAGGAUAACAACACAAAGUAAACCUAAAUUAUCAACUAAUUAACGUAUUAAUUAGGAAAAUAGAUAAUUUAAACAAGCAACACGAUUAUCAAAUGAUUUCAGAUUCAACUAAAACAAAUAACCACUUAGAAAGUCAAAAUAAUUUUAAUUAUAAACCUAAGCAUGCUUGGAUUAACAGAAAUCACCAAUUAACCCAAUCACACACUCACAUGAAAGGCGUGUAUUUGAAAUACUAAUCUAAUCGGACAAUUAAACACACAGAAUGCAAUUGUAGUUCAAGGCAAGACAGUAGUGAUGCUACUUUAUUUUGCUAAAAUGAACUAACUUGAACAAUUACAAUUAACAUAAAAAUUAAUCUGAACUAACGACACAUUAAUGAGAAAAGAGCAGAGGAGAGAAAUACCUAUAGUGUUUGAAUGGGUUGUCAAAAGAAACGGAUUUCCGGCAAGCCGGAGAAAUUGCCACACAAACACUGGCCGGAUUUCUCCAUGCGAGAUAUUGUUCUAUGCAGCAAAUAUCUCCUACUGACCCGAUAAAAUGAAGCAGAACAAGGCGAGGAUGAGUUGUGCGACCCAAUGGAGCUUGACCAAGGUUCUGGUGGUCAUGAGAUCAGUAAAGUUCAUGCAAUCAUCAAGAGAAGUCAACUGGUGUAGGUUUCGAUCUCAAAUGAGCCAGAAUUAGGGACAAAUUAAAAAAGGGAAAACUUUAAGGUUUUUGCGAUUUCUUAGAUUUGAAAUUAAAGGAUUUUGGGGAGGUUUUCUGGGAAAAUUGGUAGGAGAUUUGGGAUUAGGAGGGGAAGGAGAUUGUAUGGUGAUAAAAUUGGGCCAUUUGGUAUGGUGCCGCCGCCAUAGGGUGAUUUUCGGCGGCGGUAUGUCAGGAGAAGGGUAAUAGAUUGAGAGAUGGGGGAAAUGAAGGGGUUCU
Molecule: long non-coding RNA, 5912 nt
Filed under: Nicotiana tabacum (common tobacco)
Lineage: Eukaryota; Viridiplantae; Streptophyta; Magnoliopsida; Solanales; Solanaceae
Description: long non-coding RNA (NTAB_LNC010495)
Source: RNAcentral